Molecule: ribosomal RNA, 408 nt
Filed under: uncultured bacterium
Lineage: Bacteria
Description: bacterial SSU rRNA
Rfam family: Bacterial small subunit ribosomal RNA
Source: RNAcentral
GACGAACGCUGGCGGCGUGCUUAACACAUGCAAGUCGAACGGAGCGCUCAUGAUUGAGGUUUCGGCCAAAUGAUUGAGUUGCUUAGUGGCGGACUGGUGAGUAACGCGUGAGGAACCUGCCUUUCAGAGGGGGACAACAGUUGGAAACGACUGCUAAUACCGCAUGAAAUGCGACCGGGGCAUCCCGGAUGCAUCAAAGAUUUAUCGCUGAAAGAUGGCCUCGCGUCUGAUUAGAUAGUUGGCGGGGUAACGGCCCACCAAGUCGACGAUCAGUAGCCGGACUGAGAGGUUGACCGGCCACAUUGGGACUGAGAUACGGCCCAGACUCCUACGGGAGGCAGCAGUGGGGAAUAUUGGGCAAUGGACGCAAGUCUGACCCAGCAACGCCGCGUGAAGGAAGAAGGCUUU